GGGUGGGGCUGGCCAACUUCGACCGCCGGACUCGGAAUGGCGCGAGACUUUGCGAACGGCCUCCAUGUGCAAACAAUAGGCCGCGGGCACAGCCGCACCCAAAAAUAACCGCCAGAAGGCCGGGGCACCAAGUUCGUCCGGCGGAAAUAGGCCGCAAACAUGGGUGGGCUAUAGCCUUGGGGGUUGGGACGGGCCAACUUCGUCCGCCGGACUCGGAAUGGCGCGAGACUUUGCGAGCGGCCUCCGUGUGCCAAAAAUAGGCCGUGGGCACAGCCGCGCCCAAAAAUAACCGCCCGAAGGCCGGGGCGCCAAGUUCGUCCAGCGGAAAAAGGCCACACAAAACGGGUGGGCUAUAGCCUUGGGGGGUGGGGCUGCCCAACUUCGUCCGCCGGACUCGGAAUGGCUCGAGACUUUGCGAGCGGCCUCCGUGUACCAAAAAUAGGCCGCGGGCACAGCCGCCCCCAAAAAUAACCACCCGAAGGCCGGGUCGCCAAUUCGUCCAGCGGAAAAAGGCCACAAAAACGGGUGGGCUAUAGCCUUGGGGGGUGGGGCUGGCCAACUUCGUCCACCGGACUCGAAAUGGUGCGAGACUUUGCGAGCGGCCUCCGUGUGCCAAAAAUAGGCCGCGGACACAGCCGCACCGAAAAAUAACUGCCCGGAGGGCCGGGGCGCCAAGUUCGUCCAGCGGAAAAAGGCCACACAAAACGGCUGGGCUAUAGCGUUGGGGGGUGGGGCUGGCCGACUUCGUCCGCCGGACUCGGAAUGGCGCGAGACAUUGCGAGCGGCCUCCGUGUGCCAAAAAUAGGCCGCGGACACAGCCGCACCCAAAAAAAACCGCCCGAAGGCCGGGGCGCCAAGUUCGCCCAGCGGAAAAAGGCCACAAAAAUGGGUGGGGUAUAGCCUUGGGGGGUGGGGCUGGCCAACUUCGACCGCCGGACUCGGAAUGGCGCGAGACUUUGCGAACGGCCUCCAUGUGCAAACAAUAGGCCGCGGGCACAGCCGCACCCAAAAAUAACCGCCAGAAGGCCGGGGCACCAAGUUCGUCCGGCGGAAAUAGGCCGCAAACAUGGGUGGGCUAUAGCCUUGGGGGUUGGGACGGGCCAACUUCGUCCGCCGGACUCGGAAUGGCGCGAGACUUUGCGAGCGGCCUCCGUGUGCCAAAAAUAGGCCGUGGGCACAGCCGCGCCCAAAAAUAACCGCCCGAAGGCCGGGGCGCCAAGUUCGUCCAGCGGAAAAAGGCCACACAAAACGGGUGGGCUAUAGCCUUGGGGGGUGGGGCUGCCCAACUUCGUCCGCCGGACUCGGAAUGGCUCGAGACUUUGCGAGCGGCCUCCGUGUACCAAAAAUAGGCCGCGGGCACAGCCGCCCCCAAAAAUAACCACCCGAAGGCCGGGUCGCCAAUUCGUCCAGCGGAAAAAGGCCACAAAAACGGGUGGGCUAUAGCCUUGGGGGGUGGGGCGGGCCAACUUCGUCCGCCGGACUCGGAACGGCGCGGGACUAUGCGAGCAGCCUCCAUGUGCCACACAUAGGCCACGGGCACAGCCGCACCCAAAAAUAACCGCCCGAAGGCCGGGGCGCCAAGUUCGUCCAGCGGAAAAAGGCCACAAAAACGGGUGGGGUAUAGCCUUGGGGGGUGGGGCUGGCCAACUUCGACCGCCGGACUCGGAAUGGCGCGAGACUUUGCGAACGGCCUCCAUGUGCAAACAAUAGGCCGCGGGCACAGCCGCACCCAAAAAUAACCGCCCGAAGGCCGGGGCACCAAGUUCGUCCGGCGGAAAUAGGCCGCAAACAUGGGUGGGCUAUAGCCUUGGGGGUUGGGACGGGCCAACUUCGUCCGCCGGACUCGGAAUGGCGCGAGACUUUGCGAGCGGCCUCCGCGUGCCAAAAAUAGGCCGCGGGCACACCCUCGCCCAAAAAUAACGGCCCGGAGGGCCGGGGCACCAAGUUCAUCCAGCGGAAAAAGGCCACACAAAACGGGUGGGCUGUAGCCUUGGGGGGUGGGGCUGGCCGACUUCAUCCGCCGGACUCGGAAUGGCGCGAGACUUUGCGAGCGGCCUCCGUGUGCCAAAAAUAGGCCGCGGACACAGCCACGCUAAAAAAUAACCGCCCUAAGGCCGGGGCGCCAAGUUCGUCCAGCGGAAAAAGGCCACAAAAACGGGUGGGCUAGCCUUGGGGGGUGGGGCUGGCCGACUUCGUCCGCCGGACUCGGAAUGGCGCGAGACUUUGUGAGCGGCCUCCGUGUGCCAAAAAUAGGCUGCGGGCACAGACGCUCCCAAAAAUAACCGCCCGAUAGCCGGGGCGCCAAGUUCGUCCAGCGGAAAAAGGCCACAAAAACGGGUGGGCUAUAGUCUUGGGGGGUGGGGGGGGCCAACUUCGUCCGCCGGACUCCGAACGGCGCGGGACUAUGCGAGCAGCCUCCAUGUGCCACACAUAGGCCACGGGCACAGCCGCACCCAAAAAUAACCGCCCGAAGGCCGGGGCGCCAAGUUCGUCCAGCGGAAAAAGGCCACAAAAACGGGUGGGCUAUAGCCUUGGGGGGUGGGGCGGGCCGACUUCGUCCGCCGGACGCAGAAUGGGGCGAGACUUUGCGAGCGGCCUCCGCGUGCCAAAAAUAGGCCGCGGGCACAGCCGCACCCAAAAAUAACUGCCCGCAGGGCCGGGGCGCCAAGUUAGUCCAGCGGAAAAAGGCCACACAAAACGGGUGGGCUAUAGCCUUGGCGGGUGGGGCUGGCCGACUUCGUCCGCCGGACUCGGAAUGGCGCGAGACUUUGCGAGCGGCCUCCGUGUGCCAAAAAUAGGCGGUGGGCACAGCCGCGCUAAAAAAUAACCACCCGAAGGCCGGGGCGCCAAGUUCGUCCAGCGGAAAAAGGCCACAAAAACGGGUGGGCUAUAGCCUUAGGGGGUGGGGCUGGCCAAAUUCGUCCGCCGGACUCGGAAUGGUACGAGACUUUGCGAGGCACCUCCGUGUGACAAAAAUAGGCCACGGGCACAGCCGCGCCCAAAAAUAACCUACCGAAGGGCGGGGCGCCAUGUUCGUCUAGCGGAAAAAGGACAAAAAACGGGUGGGCUAUANNNNNNNNNNNNNNNNNNNNNNNNNNNNNNNNNNNNNNNNNNNNNNNNNNNNNNNNNNNNNNNNNNNNNNNNNNNNNNNNNNNNNNNNNNNNNNNNNNNNNNNNNNNNNNNNNNNNNNNNNNNNNNNNNNNNNNNNNNNNNNNNNNNNNNNNNNNNNNNNNNNAAAAAUGGAUCGGCUAUAGCGUUGGGGGGGUGGGGGCUGGCCAACUUCGUCCGCCGGACUCGGAUUGGCGCGAUACUUUGCGAGGCACUCCGUGUGCCAAAAAUAGGAAGCGGGCACAGCCGCGCCCAAAAAUAACCUCCCGAAGGCCGGGGCGCCAAGUUCGUCCAGCGGAAAAAGGCGACAAAAACGGGUGGGCUAUAGCAUUGGGGGGUGGGGCUGGCCAACAUCGUCCGCCGAACUCGGAAUGCAGCGAGACUUUGCGAGGGGCCUCCAUGUGCCACAAAUAGGUCGUGGGCAAAGGCGCGCCCAAAAUUAACUGCCCGAAGGCCCGGGCGCCAAGUUCGUCCAGCUGAAAAAGGCCACAAAAACGGGUGCGAUAAAGCCUUGGGGGGUGGGGUUGGCCAACUUCGUCCGCCGGACUCGGAAUGGCGCGAGACUUUGUGAGGCACCUACGUGUGCCAAAAAUAGGCCGCGGGCACAGCCGCGCCCAAAAAUAACCGCCCGAAGGCCGGGGCGCCAAGUUCGUCCAGCGGGAAAAUGCCCCAAAAACGGGUGGGCUAUAGCCUUGGGGAGUGGGGCUGGCCAACUUCAUCCGCCGGGCUCGGAAUGGCGCGAGACAUUGCGAGGCGCCUCCGUUUGCAAAAAAUAGGCCGCGGGCACAGCAGCGCCCAAAAAUAACCGCCCGAAGGCCCGGGCGCCAAGUUCGUCCAGCGGAAAAAGCCCACAAAAACGGUUGGCUAUAGACUUGGGGGGCGGGGCUGGCCGACUUCGUCCGCCGGACUCGGAAUGGCGCGAGACUUUGCGAGGUGCCUCUGUGUGCCAAAAAUAGGCUGCGGGCACAGCCGCGCCCAAAAAUAACCGCCCGAAGGCCGGGGCGCCAAGUUCGUGCAGCGGAAAAAGGCCACAAAAACAGUUGGGCUAUAGCCUUGGGGGGUGGGGCUAGCCAACUUUGUCCGCCGGACUCGGAAUGGCGCGAGACUUUGCGAGGCGCCUCCGUGUGCCAAAAAUAGGCUGCGGGCACAGCCGCGUCCAAAAAUAACCGCCCGAAGGCCGGGGCGCCAAGUUCGUCCAGCGAAAAAAGGCCACAAAAACGGGUGGCCUAUAGCAUUGGGGGGUGGGGCUGGCGAACUUCGUCCGCCGGAUUCGGAAUGGCGUGAGACUUUGCGAGGUGCCUCCGUGUGCCAAAAAUAGGCUGCGGGCACAGCCGCACCCAAAAACCACCGCCCGAAAGCCGGGGCGUCAAGUUCGUCCAGCGGAAAAAGGCCAUAAAAACGGGUGGGCUAUAGCAUUGGGGGGUGGGGAUGGCGAACUUCGUCCGCCGGACUCGGAAUGGCGCGAGACUUUGCGAGGUGCCUCCGUGUGCCAAAAAUAGGCCGCGGGCACAGCCGUGGCCAAAAAUAACGGCCCGAAGGCCGGGGCGCCAAGUUCGUGCAGCGGAAAAAGGCCACAAAAACGGGUGGGC
RNAcentral lists this long non-coding RNA (4697 nucleotides) under Citrus x clementina. RNAcentral's name for it is "Citrus clementina (C. clementina) long non-coding RNA (CCLE_LNC006294)". Lineage: Eukaryota; Viridiplantae; Streptophyta; Magnoliopsida; Sapindales; Rutaceae. The record is from RNAcentral.